AAAUGGAAAAAAAAAGGAAAAAAUUCUCAGGGUUGGAGGACAAAAGCAUGCUCCGGCCAUACAUCUGGAAACACUCUAAACCAACAUCCUGGUAUAAAUUUGCAAAACGCAAUACAGGCCGGAUUGUGCGCGGGACAGACGCAGGGUGCAUACAAAUGGCUCCCCCGUCUAAAGUACCCCCUGUUUCGCUUCUGCCUCAGAAGGAGAGCCUGCGUUUUUUACCGAAGGGAGAAUAAAGUUUCAAGUGCAUGGCAUUUGAAGACUCGGCGGGCCAGCGCGAACCCGAAGUGCUUGAAACGGGGAUAAACGGAAAAUUUAUUUGCAUUUGUGAAAUUUCAACACACUUGAUUUUUUUCAGCUGCGCAAUCUGAAGUGCGCGAGUCUAUGCGAGAUGUAAAGGAAGCACACACUGUGUGCAGAUGUCACAACGACACACAGGAAUUCACUCAAUGAGCUGGGGUUUCUUAAACCUACUGUGUGGGUUUCAUUUUCCUUCAGAUCACUUUGAUUUGUGCACUUUUUCAAUGUGGCAAAUAGAGAUUUUGGAGGGCCCUCAAGGCAGCCCCCAAAUGCCCCUUACAAAACUCCUCUCCAGCAAUCAUUACAUCACCAUUUCUCUAAGCCGAUUUUCACCAAGUCUGGCUGUGUUAUUAAAAUAGUAAUUAAUUUUUG
Long non-coding RNA from Rhinichthys klamathensis goyatoka, 672 nucleotides. RefSeq lists it as uncharacterized. NCBI's taxonomy places the organism in Eukaryota, Metazoa, Chordata, Actinopteri, Cypriniformes, Leuciscidae. The transcript has 4 exons. The record is from RefSeq and is a predicted model, not a curated record.